UACGAAGGGGGCUAGCGUUGUUCGGAAUCACUGGGCGUAAAGGGCGCGUAGGCGGCCGAUCAAGUCGGGGGUGAAAGCCUGUGGCUCAACCACAGAAUUGCCUUCGAUACUGUUUGGCUUGAGACCGGAAGAGGUUAGUGGAACUGCGAGCGUAGAGGUGAAAUUCGUAGAUAUUCGCAAGAACACCAGUGGCGAAGGCGGCUCACUGGCCCGGUACUGACGCUGAGGUGCGAAAGCGUGGGGAGCAAACAGG
This 253-nucleotide ribosomal RNA is filed under the name uncultured bacterium. RNAcentral describes it as "partial 16S ribosomal RNA". It matches the Rfam family "Bacterial small subunit ribosomal RNA", at positions 524 to 776 of the family's 1533-position model. The record is from RNAcentral.